UUUUUUUUUUUUUUUUUUUUUUUGUGAAUGACUGUAACAGUAGAACCAAUAUAGGGAAGUGGUGAACAGUGACCAAGCUACCAAAUAGUAUCAGGAUAUGAUUAGCAUGCUUCUCAAAAUAUGUAUAAAUGGACAAUUCAAGCUGGCAAAACGGUCAAAAAACACAAUUAAAAAAAAAAAAAAAGUGUAGAACUGAAUUGAAUUAUAAGUCUUUUAAACAGAAUUGGUUUGAACGACUAAUUAGACCUUUAAGGACGAGUUAACUUUCAAGAAUUAAAGUGAAAAAUAUUACACGUUGCUUGUAUGUAAAUUUAUUCUUUUGCAAUCCCUUUGCGUGUCUUUGUAUUGUUUGGAUUGCACAUUAUUUAUACUUUAUUUGCACGCUGACUUACUUUAUUAAUACAAUUUUUAAUUUUUUUUAUUUCACAUAUAUCAAAUCAAAAAAGUGUUACACUAUUUUUUUUUGAUAAAAUUAUCUCGAAAAAGUGCUACUAUAUUUAUUCUUUUCCAAUUCGCCCCAUGUCUCCAUACCUUUUAAAUUCUUUUCCGGAAGGCCCGUUUUAAAGCAGCAGGCCAGGGGAUGUUUGGGGGGGCGGGGGGCGAGCGGGGAAUCAUUUCCCCACAUCAUUUAAUAAAUUACAUAGAAAUUUUAUAUAUCCAUAUAAAUUAGUAUUAGUUAACGCUUAAUUAGCUAUUUGUAACUGGAAUUAAUUAGUUUUUUUUAGCUAGAAUAUUACUAAUAGUAACAGUAUUUUAUUUAUAGUUGUUCUUUUUUCCUCUUUUUUUUUAAAAAAAAAAGUUUGAUGAGUACAAGAAGAAAGAACUUAUAAUUCGAAACUAUUCUGACAAACCCUUAAUUAUAAGAGCUAAGAGGAAUAGCUACAAUCGGUCAAGUAGACUGGAGAAAAUAAAACGAGGGAACAAGAAUCAAGACUGAAGUCCUCCUGUCAUGUUACUUCUUUAUUCGCUACAAACAAGAUGUUCAUCAGCCUGCUUUAAGGAAAUCUAACAAGACAACUAGUUGAACUAUUUCAAGAGUUCUCGCGGAAUUUCCAGUUAUCUAAAUUUAUCUAGACCUAUCAUGCAUAUAUAUGCUCCUUGAAUUGCUACCUCACCAUGCCAACAAGAAGUUCGGUCACUAGUACAAGGGAGAGGCAGGGGCGGGGGGAGUUACUUGUUGACGGGUGGCCCUGCCCCAAAAUCGCCCUGUUGCCAUCCAUUACUCCAUAUUCAAGUCAUUGUAACUGUACUAAGCAUAAGCAUGGCCAGGAGUAGUGAUAAGGCAAAAUAUUAGUGGAGUUUGGAUUCAUCGAUGUACAAUCCCAAGUCCUUAUAAAGGUACUAAGCAUGAGCAUCGUCAGAGGUUACUGUAAUUGUAAGGCAAAAUAUGAAUGGAGUUUGGAUUCGUCCAUGUACAAUAUUAAGGCAUGAGCAUAGUCAGUAGUGUAAUAAGAAUAGUUUGGAGCAGUAGUUAGAAUAUUAGCAGAGUUUGGAGUAGAAGAGGGAAGGGGCAGGCAGUAGAAUGGUAGAAGUGGAACUAGAGUGGUUGUUGGGGAGGCAGGCAGCAGGCUUGGUUUUGCAUCUCCCCUUCCCUGCAAAAGAAAAGUUAUAUAGGUAAUAAAUCAUCGCUAUUCAUUACUCCACAAUGGGAAGAAAAAAUUGCUCCAAAAUUUACUUGUUUUGUCUCACUUCUGGGUGGAGGUACCCAUGAACUCAGUGGCAUUUCCUACAAAAAUUUUCAGGUUAAUCCAAGUAACUUCAUUAAUCUUUUCUUUUUCAGUUCUUCGUUAAAAUAUAUAUAUAUAUAUAUAUAUAUAUAUAUAUAUAUAUAUAUAUAUUCCAAGUAAGUUCAGCAAUCUUUUCUGUUAAGAAUUCCUUAAUUUCUGAUCCAAGUAAGUUUAGUAAUAUUUUCUAUUAAGAAUUCCUUAAUUUCUGCAAAUUAUAAGAAGUAUGGUACGUUUCAUGUACCUCAAGGUUAUCAACAUCAUCCGCAGCAGUAUCAUUAAGGUUCAUAUCCUGUUAUAAUCUAUUUGUUAAUUCACACACACCAAAUGACGUUGAUUUACGAUUCAUGAUUUUUUUUUUUUUUUUUUUAUAUAAGAAAAUCAUGAAUCGUGAAUCAACGUCAUUUGGAGUGUGUGAAUUAACAAAUAAAUUAUAGCAGGAUAUGAUUUGAACACGUAACAUAUACGUAAAAUAUGAUGGUAGAAUUAAGUAAAAUCUCACCUCUUUUUAUCCACCAAAUCAAGUAAGCGGCCAUUUGAUGUCGCAACCAAAUGUAGAUUCUUGUUUUCUGCUGCUUCAUCACCAUCAAACACCGCUUCCUGAACCCAUUUCUCAGGCGACUUUUGCGUCGAGAAUCAGACGGUGGUGGGAUUAAGUAAGAAAUGCUCAUGGUGGUGGAGAAUGGAGACUCCUCAAAUUUUGGAUAUCAGCCAUGGGAUCGAAUUAAGGUAGAAGAAGAUGGACUGAGUUGAGACUUGGGACUUGGGACUUGGGAGCAGGGCAUGGGAAAACCCGUCAUAUAUAGAGAGACCAAAGACAGAGAGAGGCGCUAGCGACUCGUGUCAGCUAUCGCGGUCCCUUUGUUUACGUUAGAGGUCAAAUCAUGACAAUGGAAACUACUACCUGAAAAAACACCUGAAAUCCUCGGUGACAUGUUUUAUAUGCCAACCCAAUGUCACCAAUAGUGUUGUGCCAAGUGUCUUGUUAUUAUUUACACUUUAAUUUUUUAAUAAUUCAACUUGGCUUGGUUUAAUACAAGUUUAAAUAAUAACAUGACACUUGGUGCAACACUAUUGAUGGCAUUGAAUUGGCAUAGAAAACAUGUCACCGAGGAUCCCAAGUGCUGAAAAAAUGCAUGCUCACAAAUUCUCCUCUUUUUUUUUUUUUAAAAAAAAUUUAAAUAAAAUGUUCACUUUUUCCUUGCAAUUUCUUGCCUUCCAUUCAUACUUGAGAAUAAUCUUUAUCGUCUUUUGUCUCAUAAAACUCUCAAAUAACGUUUUAAUGUUUACAAAUUUGUCUUUUCUCUUGGUUUUCUUUUCCUUAAUUUAUAUUCUUUUUUUGGUUUUCCCUUGCUCUUAAAACUCACACGCUAGACUUAGCAUCCUAUACUUGGCAAUUAGUUUGCAUCUCAUUCUUCGAAAUCUUCUGCUAUGAACCAGAGGUGCACAGAUGCACCCUCUUCAUCGAGCCUAUAUCAGCAGGAAAACAAAAAUUCUCAUCGAGCCUAUUUUAGCGUACUCAAGUAAAUGACCGUCAUGUCGAUCUGCAAAAGUCCUUAUUUUCAUUGCCAAGAGUAGUAGUAUAAGCAUGUAAUCAAAACUCACAGAACUUCCAUAACCCCCCCCCCCCCCCCCAAAACAACAAAAAAUGUAUUUGAAGAAGCUUUCUAAGGAGAUUUCAUGGCGCAUCAUGAGUAAGUGACCGUCAUGCUUCAACCUUCAUCUCACCUAUGAAAGUUUGUUUCGUGAAAAUAUAAUCCUAACAAGCGGUCCCGGACAGUUAAAAGAGGGACCAAGCCCUUAUUGGUCCUCAUCCAAUUGUAGGGUAGCAAUCCACCACCCUAUCUACUCUUUGACAAGGCUACAAAUUGAGGUGGGAGUAAAGGAUGACCUCGUCCUCCCGCUAGACUCAUUUAAGGCACAAGUAGUGAGGCAGCCUCUAAAGGUUACCCCGCUAUGCAAACCACAUCUCUGACCAUGAAGUUGAUGCGACAGAGAAAUUUGCUUCUCCGAUCACCUACAUGUGGGGCAAUUGAUUAAGAAGCCCCCCCAUAACCAACCAACCAAAUCCCAAUUGCUCCUCAAGUAUGCAUGUCAGUGGAAAGAUAUGGUGAAAUCAUGCAUAGUGGAAGGAAUGAAGAUCAUUUGAUGAUCCAUCAUGUUAUUGGGUGGACUAUAGACUGUAACUUCCCAUAUAAUCCUUGUUUAAUUAGUUCAAUUUAUUUGGUUGUUCAUCUGAUGUUAUUCAUCAUCAAGAGUUGUGCUAUCUGGUGACAAAACAAAAAAAAAAAAAAAAAAAUUUGCUUGCAAAAGCACCCGGAAGUCAGUGACAAAUUAUCAAUACAGUAAUAUUAACACUGCUGUUUACGCGUUCCUCAAAAAGAAAUCAUCAAGGCGUAAGACCUAGAUUCGAUGACAAAUUCAUCCAUACAAGAUCAAUUUUUCAAGUAGAUUCAUCAUCCACGGGCUACAACUACAAGAGGAGAAAUAGCUCUCCAGUUCUGAACAGAGAGUUUUGCCCCUUUUCCUCUCCAACUCCUGUACAGCUAUCAAGACAAAUGGGGAUGAGUCCAUUGACCUUAAGCAUAAACAUCUCUUGACCAAACGAUUUCAGCCCAUUUUUGGACUGCAGCACCUACCCUUGAUCUCUAAUGACCUUUAAUUGCUGAACCCUUCCGUUUCGGCCAAGAUCAAGAUUUGCCGGAUCAUAUCAUCAAAAAGAAUCACAUGGGUUCUCCGUCUCGCUUCCGGGGGCGUCCCCUGAAUUGCUGUCGGACAAGAUACUCAAUUUAUUGAGCUACUAAUCUGAUAAGGUGUGAUCGUGCCAACACAAAAGCAUGGUGACGCAGCGCCUGAGGAUGUAGAUUCUUGUUUUCUGCUGCUUCAUCACCAUCAAACACCGCUUCCUGAACCCAUUUCUCCGGCCGCUUUUGCGUCCAGAGCCAGACGACGGUGGGAUUAAGUAAGAAAUACUCAUGGUGGUGGAGACUGGAGACUCUCUGCCUGGAACUUCGGAAAUUAGCUUUGAGAUAGAAUUAAGGGAGAAGAAGAUUGAUUGCGCUGGGAGCAGAGUAUAGGAAAGCCCGUCAUAUAUAGAGAGGCCAGAGAGAGAGAGGCUAGUGCUAGAUAUCGUGGUCCCGUUGUUUAAGUUUGCGGUCAUAUCAUAAUAAU
This 4895-nucleotide long non-coding RNA is filed under the name Coffea arabica (coffee). Its description in RNAcentral is "long non-coding RNA (CARA_LNC004006)". Lineage: Eukaryota; Viridiplantae; Streptophyta; Magnoliopsida; Gentianales; Rubiaceae. The record is from RNAcentral.